UGUAAGCGUAUACCAAAGUUGUUGCAGUUAAAACGCUCGUAGUCGGAAUUUGGCAGUUCCGGAUGUGUGCACGUCGUGUGCGCACUUCGCGGGGAUUGCUUUUGUGGUCUUGCGUAGGAUGAGGCACUUUUAUUAGUGAACGUCCUCACGCAACCACUUUUUACUGUGAGAAAAUCAGAGUGCUCAAAGCAGGCAUUUGCCGUGAAUGUAUUAGCAUGGAAUAAUAGAAUAGGACUUGGUUCUAUUUUGUUGGUUUGUUGGGACUGAGUAAUGAUUAAGAGGGACAGUUGGGGGCUUUUGUAUUUCGGUGCUAGAGGUGAAAUUCUUAGAUUACCGAAAGACAAACUGCUGCGAAAGCGUCUGCCAAGGAUGUUUUCAUUGA
This 382-nucleotide ribosomal RNA is filed under the name uncultured eukaryote. RNAcentral's name for it is "partial 18S ribosomal RNA". It matches the Rfam family "Eukaryotic small subunit ribosomal RNA", at positions 592 to 976 of the family's 1831-position model. The record is from RNAcentral.